GGCUGUAGCUCAGAGGAAAAGCACUUGCCUCCCAUGUGUGAGGAGCUGGGUUCGAUCCUCAGCACCA
RNAcentral lists this transfer RNA (67 nucleotides) under Marmota monax (woodchuck). RNAcentral's name for it is "tRNA.Gly". Lineage: Eukaryota; Metazoa; Chordata; Mammalia; Rodentia; Sciuridae. The record is from RNAcentral.